RNAcentral lists this long non-coding RNA (1197 nucleotides) under Manihot esculenta (cassava). RNAcentral describes it as "long non-coding RNA (MESC_LNC000242)". The record is from RNAcentral. Lineage: Eukaryota; Viridiplantae; Streptophyta; Magnoliopsida; Malpighiales; Euphorbiaceae.
CUCAUUCGGCAAUUUCCGCCGCUCCAAGCGCACAGGCAGAAUUCAAGAUUUCAACCUCGGUUUCGUUUUCUUUUCCUUUUAAUUUUCUGUUUUUUGAGUGGCUGAUUUCUUUAAUUCUAGUUGAGAAUUGGUUGAAACUAAGGUUGUUUAAUGGGUUGUGAGAUCUGAACAUAAAUUAUUGUCUUUGGUUUUGUUCAAUAUUUAUGCAAUUGAUGCUUUAAUUAUAUGAUUACUUUGUUGUUUUGAUCAAAUUGGCCACUUGAUUUUAAUUGCAAAAUUAAUUGAUUAUUAGUUGGGAUUAUUUUUAGUCCGUAAUUGCUGGAAAUAUUCUGACCUUAGAACACUUGGGAUAAAACCCAAGAAAAUUGCAUGAUCUAGCGUUAUCUCCAUACGUUUGGGUAGCUAGGAUUGGAUCUCUCUAUUUCUUUAUGCAAUUGACAAUUGUUUUGAUGCCUAUGACCCAAGGACGUUCCUUGACAAUUUGUUAAUUAGUAAUUAAUUAGAGGACGUUCCCUAAUUAAUUUAAUCAUAAGGAGAGACAUGGUGGUGAGAAGCGUCUUCCACUCCCAUAACUAAUCUAUUGAACUAAUCAAGAUAAUCUAAGUUUCAAUGAUCAACCCAAACAAUCAAAGUGGAUCCAUAUCUUCAACUAGGCUUCUCUCAUAUUGAUUUCCUCUUUUAUUUUAAUUAUUUGCUUUCUAUUAUUACUCAUUAUUAGUUACUACAAUCAAUCUCAAACCCCCCCCAUUUUACUUUUAUUGCAAUUUAUUUUUAUUCUGCUUCCAGUUUAUCUCAUUUGAUCCCACUUUCAGACUUUUAUCUCAUCUUUAAUUUAUUAUUGUUUCAGUUCAUUUUAUUAUUCUUGUUGAGAAAAAUAAAUAGGUAAUCAAUUCUCUGUGGAUUCGAUCCUUUCACUACUAUCUGCAGUUGUAAAAUUGUUGAUAACUAGGAAGGUUAUUUUUGAUCGGCUUCGACAACCGCGAGUCAAAAAUUGGCGCCGUUGCCGGAGAAUUGAUUUCACUUGUUUGUUUGUUUUUUUUCAUGACCAGAUCUGAACACAGGGACACACUGCCCUUUGAUCCAGAAAUUGAACGCACUCUCAGAAGACUUAGAAAGCAAGCCGCAGAAGCUUCAUCUGAAGCAACCGAAUUUUACCAACAAGCUGCACCAAUGGCUGAACCUAUUCCACAAGANNNN